Molecule: ribosomal RNA, 405 nt
Filed under: uncultured bacterium
Lineage: Bacteria
Description: bacterial SSU rRNA
Rfam family: Bacterial small subunit ribosomal RNA
Source: RNAcentral
GGGGAAUAUUGCGCAAUGGGCGAAAGCCUGACGCAGCGACGCCGCGUGAGGGACGAAGGCCUUCGGGUUGUAAACCUCUUUCAGCAGGGAAGAAGCGAAAGUGACGGUACCUGCAGAAGAAGCACCGGCUAACUACGUGCCAGCAGCCGCGGUAAUACGUAGGGUGCAAGCGUUGUCCGGAAUUAUUGGGCGUAAAGAGCUCGUAGGCGGUCUGUCGCGUCUGCUGUGAAAACUCGGGGCUCAACCCCGGGCCUGCAGUGGGUACGGGCAGACUAGAGUGUGGUAGGGGAGACUGGAAUUCCUGGUGUAGCGGUGAAAUGCGCAGAUAUCAGGAGGAACACCGGUGGCGAAGGCGGGUCUCUGGGCCAUAACUGACGCUGAGGAGCGAAAGCGUGGGGAGCGAAC